ACCGGAAGAAUAAGGGGCUGCUAAACUCGUGCCAGCAGCAGCGGUAAUACGAGUGCCCCAAGCGUUACCCGGAUUUAUUGGGCGUAAAGCGUGUGCAGGCGGUUUAUUAAGUCAAUGGUCAAAUCCUCCGGCUCAACCGGAGAACUGCCGUUGAUACUGAUAGACUAGAGGCUGGAAGAGGCAAGCGGAAUUGCUGGUGUAGGGGUCAAAUCCGUUAAUAUCAGCAGGAACACCAAAUGCGAAGGCAGCUUGCUAGGACAGACCUGACGCUAAUACACGAAAGCGUGGGGAGCGAAGCGGAUUAGAUACCCGCGUAGUCCACGCCGUAAACGAUGGAUACUAGACAUUGGGAGUUUCGACCCUCUCAGUGUCGUUGACAAAAGCUAACGCGUUAAGUAUCCCGCCUGGGGAGUACGGCCGCAAGGCUAAAACUCAAAGGAAUUGACGGGGACUCGCACAAGCGGUGGAGCACGUGGUUUAAUUCGACGCUAAGCGAAAAACCUUACCAAGGCUUGACAUAUAGCUGCACGCCUCCAGAAAUGGAGGAAGCUUUCGAAGGUGCUAUACAGAUGCUGCAUGGUUGCCGUCAGCUCGUGUCGUGAGAUGUACGGUUAAGUCCGGAAACGAGCGCAACCCCUAUCCUAAUUUGUACUUUAUUAGGAAACUGCCUCGGUCAACGAGGAGGAAGGUGGGGACGACGUCAAAUCAGCAUGGCUCUUACGCCUUGGGCUACACACAUGCUACAAUGGCCAAUACAGGGGGUUGCCAAAUCGCAAGAUGGAGCUAAUCCCGUCAAAGUUGGUCUCAGUUCGGUUUGUGGUCUGCAACUCGACCACAUGAAGCUGGAAUCGCU
This 853-nucleotide ribosomal RNA is filed under the name uncultured organism. RNAcentral describes it as "bacterial SSU rRNA". It matches the Rfam family "Bacterial small subunit ribosomal RNA", at positions 477 to 1336 of the family's 1533-position model. The record is from RNAcentral.